Molecule: small RNA, 767 nt
Filed under: Pongo abelii (Sumatran orangutan)
Lineage: Eukaryota; Metazoa; Chordata; Mammalia; Primates; Hominidae
Description: retained intron
Source: RNAcentral
CUUGUCUGUCUCCCAGAUGUGUGGAGUGCUUGCUCCAGACCUGGCACAGGGCCUGGCAGGGAGUAGAUGUUGCUGAUGUUUGUUGGGUGACCAUAUCAAAUGGGAUUCUCUCACUGAAAGCAAUAAAAUUUGGCUCUGGCUAACCUAAGGCAAAAAGAAUGUUUUUAAGAGUGUGCAGUGGCUCGCUGAAUGAAAGGAAAAGCUGAAGAACCAAGCUCAGAAAGGGAAGGAGCAGAAAAAGCCCAAGAACCCAGGUCUCAGGACUGUACUGCUGGGAUAUUAACAUGAUCUAAGCUGUAGGGCCCAGCAAAGAGAGGCAAGCUGGCCCAGAUGGACUGAUAGGCCUGCCACGCCCCCUUGCAUCUUGAAAGAGCAAGGCAUCUAUAAUGAUGUAUACACCAUGGCUGUACCCAGGGAAGAAAUGUCUCCCUAAAAGGAAUCAUGUAAAGCAAGGGGAAAGAUGGUGGGUGGUCCCCAGACAGACUGUCCUCUACCAUGACUCUUCUGUCUCUGGUGCAGAUGCCUCCGAGAUGUAGCUCUCCUACAAUGGGGCCACCUCCAUUGCCACAGAAAUCACUGGAAACCAGGGCUCAGAAAAAGCUCUCUUGUAGUCUAGAAGACUUGAGAAGUGAAUCUGUGGAUAAGUGUAUGGAUGGGAACCAGCCCUUCCUGGUGGUAGAACCCAAGGACAGCCCUUUCUUGGCGGAGCACAAAUAUCCCACUUUACCUGGGAAGCUUUCAGGAGCCACGCCCAAUGGAGAGGCUGC